Molecule: ribosomal RNA, 451 nt
Filed under: uncultured bacterium
Lineage: Bacteria
Description: partial 16S ribosomal RNA
Rfam family: Bacterial small subunit ribosomal RNA
Source: RNAcentral
AACGAACGCUGGCGGCAGGCCUAACACAUGCAAGUCGAGCGAUCGCAGCAAUGCGGGAGCGGCAGACGGGUGAGUAACACGUGGGAACGUACCCUUCGGUUCGGAAUAACUCAGGGAAACUUGAGCUAAUACCGGAUACGUCCGAGAGGAGAAAGAUUUAUCGCCGAAGGAUCGGCCCGCGUCUGAUUAGCGAGUUGGUGAGGUAACGGCUCACCAAGGCGACGAUCAGUAGCUGGUCUGAGAGGAUGAUCAGCCACACUGGGACUGAGACACGGCCCAGACGCCUACGGGAGGCAGCAGUGGGGAAUAUUGGACAAUGGGCGCAAGCCUGUUACAGCCAUGCCGCGUGAGUGAUGAAGGCCUUAGGGUUGUAAAGCUCUUUUACCCGGGAAGAUAAUGACGGUACCGGGAGAAUAAGCCCCGGCUAACUUCGUGCCAGCCGCCGCGGUAA